This 1616-nucleotide long non-coding RNA is filed under the name Sus scrofa (pig). RNAcentral describes it as "lncRNA (ENSSSCG00005017419.1)". Lineage: Eukaryota; Metazoa; Chordata; Mammalia; Artiodactyla; Suidae. The record is from RNAcentral.
AUGGGGGUACAUUCUCCAAUUAGCCAUCACUCUACCCCUCCCUUUGGUGUCCUGGACACUGUGGUUGACUGCUCGCUGCCACUAAUCACUGAUUUGCACCAUCGCUUUUCUUUCUUUCUCUCUCUCUCUCUCUCUCUCUCUCUCCCUCCCUCCCUCCCUCCCUCUCUCUCUCUCUCUUUCUUUCUGUCCCUCCCUUCCUUCCUUCCUUUCUUUCUUUCUCUUUCUUUCUUUUCUCCCUCUCUCUCUCUUUCUGCCAUGACCAUGGCAUGCAGAAGUUCCCCAGAUCAGAGAUCGAACCUGUACCACAGCAGCGACCCAAGCUGCUGCAGUGACACCGGAUCUUUAACCUGCCGCACUACAAGGGAACUCCUCAUAAUUUUUCUUCUCGCCAGCCCCUCAUGGUCAUGCCAAGGGUCCUCCUGGUCCCCUGGACCUAACAGGCAACAGUGCGAGGGAGCAUCUACAAGAGGAAGCAAGAGCAUCCCUUGUGGCGGGACCUACCUGCAGGAACACUCUGUGAGCAGAUAAGCCUGCACACUUGAGAACCCUCAAAGCAGCAAAGCUUCCUGCCUGGGGCUAGAGGGGAGAUGGAGUCUAGCAAAGGGCGACAGCCAGGCUUACAUCCGGAAACAGCCCCCAGACCAUGCAUCCAUCCAUCCAUCCACAGGAGGGCAAGAGUGGACAUGCAGGAGCAGCGGGUGGACAGCAAGGUAAAAGUGUGUGAUGGAGUGUGUGACACGCCUACUCCAGGGUCUGGGGGUACAUGAGAGGGAGACCGUGAUGAGCUGGUGUGAACAGGCACACACGCAGGCCAGAGGAGGGUGGCUACGAGUGUGUUGUGAUCAGGGAGUAUUGCUGAAUUGAGUGUGCUGUGAUAGGCAGUGGUUGGGGUGAGUGCGCAGCUAUGCCUGGGUGUGUAUGGCAAGGUGUACUGGGUGGGUGCACAGGUGGCCUUGUGUAUGAGUCUGAUGGAAUGAUCAAGGGCCAUAGUGUGCGUAGACCCGUGGCUUCAAGCGUUGAGUGUGCGACUGUGUGUGACGGAGCCCCAGAGUGUGUGCCACACUAGGCGUGCGACGGCGAGUGUGCUCAGUGGUGCCAGUAGAACCACUCUAGCGCCGAGCUGGCUCCAGGGGGAAAAAAUGAAUCAAUGCGGGCGGACCCCCUCCCCGCGGUGGCGGGAAGCGCCACCUCCCGCACCGCGGUGCCAAACAAAGCGGCAGGCGGCGGAGAGGCCAGGCAUGGGGCGGGGGUCCUACACACGGGUCAGGCUGACCAGCAGGGCCCCUCGGGUCCUUGGCUGGGACCGCGGACCCGCCCCCCCCCCCCCCCCGGGGACCAGGCUCAGGCUCAAGUUCCUACAGGGCUCUGAACCUGUCCUGUGCCUCUGAGUCAGUCACUCGGUGUCUCUGGUUGCUUUCCUCAUCCGGCCAAGGGGGGUGACACUUGUCCUGCCUACUGCAUUAGAGGUUAAAGGGACUCUGGAGGCCGGACCAUAGCUUCAUUUACCAACCUUGGGGACACUUGCAAGCUGGGCCUGCCCAGGCCUUGUUCGCCACCACACCAGGGGUGGCUGGCGCCCCACCAGACUCACAGGUGAUGAUGCAUGACAUCUGUUC